Molecule: long non-coding RNA, 911 nt
Organism: Humulus lupulus (European hop)
Lineage: Eukaryota; Viridiplantae; Streptophyta; Magnoliopsida; Rosales; Cannabaceae
Exons: 5
Source: RefSeq, a predicted model, not a curated record
CUGAAAUCCCUCGUAUCUCUCUUUCUCAAUCCCUAAAUUUCUCCAUGCCUCCGAUCUCCAGCCUCUCAUUGCACCUCUCGCACGAUCGACUAUCGCCUUUAGCCUUUCAGAAUAAAUGGCCUUUGAAUCGAGCUCAUCCUCGUCUCCUCUGGUGGGUCAAUGGAAGUUGAGCGCCACCUCUGCUUGCUUGGGACGCCGCCUCCUUCGGUCCCAUCGCCCCCGCUAGCCGGGGUGAAGAAGUUGAGCACGGACUUUGCUUGGCAUUCUUUCACUGAUGGUGCAGAGGUCAUGUGAGAAAGAUAGUCCUUUAUGCUAUUCUAUUUUUGUAUAGGUGUUUCACUUUAAGAAGUUCCAUAUACUUUUGUCAAGAAAAGUUCUGAGAGGAUUGGAUCUACAAACACUUUGAUGCUGCAAACAAAAAUGAAGAAGGCAGAGAUGAACAUAAAUGAAAAGGGUUUGAUAUCUGCUUUACAACACUUGAAUCCAUUCAAAUUGAAUGGAUGUUGUAUUGAAGAAAAGCAGCUGCAGUUGGUUUUUGAAUAAUAGCCUUGCUCAUUCUCUAUUUGCUGAGGGUGCAGUGCAAAACAACUGAAGCAGCCAAUAUUGUGAGCUAUUUUUUUUGUUCCUGUUCUUGACCUGAAUUUGGUUUUUCAAGUAUGCAAGGUGCACCGAAUUAGUCUCCAUCGACAUGCGCUGUGUUGCACUAUCCUGAGCACUAUGGCUAAAACUCUACUUGGAUAUUUAAGAGAACCAAUACAAUUAUAUAAGAGAACCAAGGCAACAAGAAACUCUUCAAGUUGUUGGGUAUUAUUUUCUUUCUUGCUUGUAAGAAUUAUGUACAGUGAUGAUUUGAUGUAUUAUUUACAUUGAGAAUAAUGAAUUUUUAUUGAGAAUUAUUUAGUCUCAUGGGG